Molecule: ribosomal RNA, 497 nt
Filed under: uncultured bacterium
Lineage: Bacteria
Description: partial 16S ribosomal RNA
Rfam family: Bacterial small subunit ribosomal RNA
Source: RNAcentral
GAUGAACGCUGGCGGCGUGCCUAAUACAUGCAAGUCGAGCGAACGGACUAGAAUCUUGCUUCUCUGAUGUUAGCGGCGGACGGGUGAGUAACACGUGGAUAACCUCCCUUUAAUACUGGGAUCUCUUCGGGAAACCGGCGCUAAUACCGGAUAAUAUUUUGCACCGCAUGGUUCAAAAGUGAAAGACGGUCUUGCUGUCACUUAUAGAUGGAUCCGCGCUGCAUUAGCUAGUUGGUAAGGUAACGGCUUACCAAGGCAACGAUGCAUAGCCGACCUGAGAGGGGGAUAGGCCACACGGGAAGUGAGACAGGGUCAAGACUCCUAAGGGAGGCAGCAGUAGGGAAUCUUACGCAAUGGGGGAAAGCCUGACGGAGCAAAGCGGAGUGAGUGAUGAAGGUGUGCGGAUCGGAAAACUCUGUUAGUAGGGAAGAACAUAUGUGUAAGUAAAUGUGCACAUAGUGACGGUACCUAAUCAGAAAGCCACGGCUAACUACGUG